UACGGGGGGGGCAAGCGUUGUUCGGAAUUACUGGGCGUAAAGGGCGCGUAGGCGGCCUUCUAAGUCGAACGUGAAAUCCCCGGGCUCAACCCGGGAACUGCGUCCGAUACUGGGAGGCUUGAAUCCGGGAGAGGGAUGUGGAAUUCCAGGUGUAGCGGUGAAAUGCGUAGAUAUCUGGAGGAACACCGGUGGCGAAGGCGGCAUCCUGGACCGGUAUUGACGCUGAGGCGCGAAAGCUAGGGGAGCAAACGGG
RNAcentral lists this ribosomal RNA (253 nucleotides) under uncultured bacterium. RNAcentral describes it as "partial 16S ribosomal RNA". It matches the Rfam family "Bacterial small subunit ribosomal RNA", at positions 524 to 776 of the family's 1533-position model. The record is from RNAcentral.